AUUGACUUACAUGAGUUCGUUCUCAUUUUAUUACCUUUUCUCGUCACUUUCUCUCUUAUUUUCUUUGUUUUAAUUUUAUCAUCUACGUGAUCAGCAAGCAGUUUAUGAAGGGGGAAAACAUGAAGAAUUUCGUGGGUGGAGAAAUGGAAACUGGACCCGAAGUGUCCCGAAAGAAACAUCGCAGGGCAAGGAAACCCAAGUUUGAGGUUGGCAAACCAAAGCUCGUUAAUGAUAAGAAGAAAAAGGAUAAGAAAGUGAAGCAGGUAGUUGCGACCCAGAUGGCCAAGCUAGGCCUGGAGGCGUUUCCGCUGAUAUUUGCUGAAAUUAAGGAAAGUAAUCGCCGGUUGAAACACCUGAACUCUAAGAUCGAUGGUUAUGUUCUUGAUAAGCUAGCUGCUUGGGAUGCUGAAGACGAAUUAAGGCGUUUGAGCAUUUGAUCCAUCUGGGAUCUUAUCUAUCAAGCAGCUGGGCUUGCUUAUGGUUAAUUUAUCUAUUUAUCUAUCUAUCUAUCCAGAACUUAACUGGUGUGUUUGGGAUUGAAACAUGAAUCUGUUUGCACUUUUGAUUUCAUCUAAAUCACUUAAUUUGCUUCCACUUUGGGUAAUGAUUAUUUCAUCCAAUUUUCUGAUUA
Theobroma cacao (cacao) is the source of this 631-nucleotide long non-coding RNA. RefSeq lists it as uncharacterized. The record is from RefSeq and is a predicted model, not a curated record. NCBI's taxonomy places the organism in Eukaryota, Viridiplantae, Streptophyta, Magnoliopsida, Malvales, Malvaceae.